CAAGUUUGAGUGUAGCGGCUCAAAUCCUAUACUUCCUUGGCAGUAAAGACUCAAUGCAGAAUUCAUCCCAAUUUUGAAAAGAGGAGCAUUUUAAAAGGCGCUUACAGCAAUGAAAUGAAGAGUGUAUUUUGUUGCCCUGAAAACAACACAGAGGGAGACCAGAUUGCUCCUACAUGUUGCAAGUUUUGCAACUUGAGAGGCAUUCUACUGGGAAAGGAG
Molecule: long non-coding RNA, 219 nt
Filed under: Ictidomys tridecemlineatus (thirteen-lined ground squirrel)
Lineage: Eukaryota; Metazoa; Chordata; Mammalia; Rodentia; Sciuridae
Description: lncRNA (ENSSTOG00000033683.1)
Source: RNAcentral